AUUUAAUGUGUGCUUUAUCGGAGUUAAUAAAGAUAUCACAUUACAUUAAUUCCUUUGCACGUAUCUACUUCAGAAGUUUACUACUUAUUACUCGUGAUAAGUUAAAGGAACAAUUCUUAAAUUGCAGGAUAUUUAUCAUGCAUGGAAGCAGAAGUACUGUCCGGAUACGUUUCCUGUCAUUAGCAUUAAUUCAAGUUCAGACAAACUAGGAACAUUGACAUAGGCGUUGUUGAAUUGACCACUGCACUAUCAUUGUACUGAAACUGAUGUUACAGGAUUUGUUAUCAACGAUGGAAUAUCAAAUGCUAUUGUAGAACAGUGAAUAAAGAUAAUUAUCGCUAUUGUAACAUGCGAAAAUAACGAUUAAAUCAUAGGACAUUGACUGAACACUUAAUUUAUUCAUGUUGUAUUAAUUACUUUGCCACUAUCGGGGCAGUGAAAACUCAAGUGAAUCACGAAAUAAAAGGUAAAUAAGAUAAAUAAUGUAAUGUUAUUCGUAUCGAGGCAAUCGAUAAUUUCACACAAUACAGAUCCAUAAAGGAGUAAAAUAAAAAGUUAUUCAAUCGAU
Molecule: long non-coding RNA, 568 nt
Organism: Bombus terrestris (buff-tailed bumblebee)
Lineage: Eukaryota; Metazoa; Arthropoda; Insecta; Hymenoptera; Apidae
Exons: 2
Source: RefSeq, a predicted model, not a curated record